RNAcentral lists this ribosomal RNA (570 nucleotides) under uncultured fungus. RNAcentral's name for it is "eukaryotic LSU rRNA". The stretch from base 208 to 361 matches the Rfam family "5.8S ribosomal RNA". The record is from RNAcentral. Lineage: Eukaryota; Fungi.
CGUAACAAGGUCUCCGUAGGUGAACCUGCAGAGGGAUCAUUACACAAAUAUGAAGGCGGGCUGGAACCUCUCGGGGUUACAGCCUUGCUGAAUUAUUCACCCUUGUCUUUUGCGUACUUCUUGUUUCCUUGGUGGGUUCGCCCACCACUAGGACAAACAUAAACCUUUUGUAAUUGCAAUCAGCGUCAGUAACAAAUUAAUAAUUACAACUUUCAACAACGGAUCACUUGGUUCUGGCAUCGAUGAAGAACGCAGCGAAAUGCGAUAAGUAGUGUGAAUUGCAGAAUUCAGUGAAUCAUCGAAUCUUUGAACGCACAUUGCGCCCUUUGGUAUUCCAAAGGGCAUGCCUGUUCGAGCGUCAUUUGUACCCUCAAGCUUUGCUUGGUGUUGGGCGUCUUGUCUCUAGCUUUGCUGGAGACUCACCUUAAAGUAAUUGGCAGCCGGCCUACUGGUUUCGGAGCGCAGCACAAGUCGCACUCUCUAUCAGCAAAGGUCUAGCAUCCAUUAAGCCUUUUUUUCAACUUUUGACCUCGGAUCAGGUAGGGAUACCCGCUGAACUUAAGCAUAUCA